This is an RNA transcript of Triticum aestivum (bread wheat), 1617 nucleotides long. It is a transcript of the gene named cyclin-D3-1-like, with no coding region annotated. The record is from RefSeq and is a predicted model, not a curated record. The transcript is spliced from 6 exons. Lineage: Eukaryota; Viridiplantae; Streptophyta; Magnoliopsida; Poales; Poaceae.
GGAGGCCGAGUCGCCACCCGCUGCCGGUCCUCAGACCGUCCUGAUCGACCAAGCUCAGGGUCGAGGGGCGCGCCGGAUCUGGGCGCGGUGGCUCGUAUCCCAGGGAGAUCCCCACGUUGCGCGGAAGGACGGCGACCUCGCCACCCGGGCUCCCUUCCUGGUCAGCGCCCUGCGGAAAGGUUACUGGCGGACCACCCUGUGCAGUUUGGGGACUAUGUGGCUGCGCCCGUCAAGACGGAGAAUGAGCACAUGCCCGCCGACAGGUACCCCAGAUGCUGUGGCCGUGGCUCGAGGGCCUGGAUUUGGCCGUCGUUAGAAAGUACGCGAUAGAUGGGAUUUGGAAGCUGAUUAAAUCUGCAAAUUCUUUGCCGUUGACUCCGGCAUUGUCUGUCAACUACCUUGAUAGGUUCCUCUUCGUCUAUCCCUUUCCUGAAGGCAAAGCGUGGGUGACACGGCUCUUGGCAGUGGCUCGCUUUUGUCUCGCUUUAAAGAUGGAGGAGACCUAUGUGUCACUCCCCAUGGACCUGCAGGUGAUUGAGGCAAAGUCUGCUUUGGAGGCAAUGACCAUAAAAAGGAUGGAGCGGUUACUGCUUGCUCAUUUAUUGACUACUUCCUUCGCAACUUCAAUCAUCAUGACGCACCCUCCAUGCUCGCAUUCACCCGCACGACCGACUCCAUCCCGAGCACAGCUAAAGGAGCGAGUGUUAAGAUGCCACAAAUUGAUUCAGGACAAGAUAACAAUGGGAACCACUGUCAUCAAAUCGGUUGGAUCAUCAAUGUUCUAUGUGCCGCAAAGCCCGAUAGGCGUGUUGGAUGCUGUUGUAUGUCUCAGCCAACAGAGUGAUGAUACUGUUGUUGGAUCUCUAGCAACAUGAUACCACAUCGCUCUUCGACAAGCAAAAGGAUGAGAAUUGACAGAUGACCGAUCACAUGUCAUGAUGUACUUCAGGCAGUAGCCCUCUUCAAGUCCUACUUUGGUGGAACUUUUGAUGAAGAUGCUAUCAGGAAUAACUUGAUGUCUAUACCAACUUCUUGAUGUUAAGGGCACAUCCAGUUUUGGACUUUGCCUGGUGCUUCAGUUUCCACCAUGGAUUGCUUUUUUGUGUGAUACCGACUCUGCAACUGUGCAGAGAUUAUGGACAUCAGUUAUCCUCAGAAUCUCUCACCUGAAAUUCUGAAGUUAUAUAUAAUCCAGGAAGGCGUACCGUCGCCAUUUUCCUCCAAGAUUUGAAAUUGAAAAUAAUCUGUCAAAACUGAAAGAAAUUGGAGUAUUAAAGAUCUGCUUGUACUGUCAUUUUUUUGUUUGAAUUGUGCACCAAAAUAAACUGUUGCCAAUCAGUUAGUAGCAUAAUUAUUGAUAGGGAGUAUUUAGGACAAUCCAUGAGGUAUACUUAGAUGCAAAAAAAAUCUGUUAGAAGAUGUUCGUUUUUUUCCUGUGUGCAACUUAUGUAUAUGGGGGUUCAGGAAUAUCAUUUGUACUGAAUUUUACUGUCCAGAUUGUAGCUUGUACUGUCAUUUCUAAAAAACAGUAACACAAAAAGAUCAGAUCCAGCUCCAUAAUUUUACUGUAUGAGACAGCCUAUAUAAUUUUCAGCUCCAUAAUUUUCAGUUUGUAGA